AUUGAACGCUGGCGGCAGGCCUAACACAUGCAAGUCGAGCGAGCGGCGGACGGGUGAGUAAUGUAUGGGGAUCUGCCCGAUAGAGGGGGAUAACUACUGGAAACGGUAGCUAAUACCGCAUACUAUUGGAGCGGCCGAUAGGGGAUGAGCUCGUUGGUGGGGUAAAGGCUCACCAAGGCAACGAUCCGUAGAUGGUUUGAGAGGACGACCAGCCAAACGGGAACGGAGACACGGCCAAGACUCCGACGGGAGGCAGCAGUGGGGAAUUUUGGACAAUGGGGGAAACCCUGAUCCAGCCAGCCCGCGUGUAUGAGAAGGCCUUCGGGUUGUAAAGUACUUUGGGCAGAGAAGCGGUAUCUGCAGAAUAAGCACCGGCUAACUACGUGCCAGCAGCCGCGGUAAUUC
RNAcentral lists this ribosomal RNA (405 nucleotides) under uncultured bacterium. Its description in RNAcentral is "partial 16S ribosomal RNA". It matches the Rfam family "Bacterial small subunit ribosomal RNA", at positions 29 to 526 of the family's 1533-position model. The record is from RNAcentral.